Molecule: ribosomal RNA, 462 nt
Filed under: uncultured bacterium
Lineage: Bacteria
Description: partial 16S ribosomal RNA
Rfam family: Bacterial small subunit ribosomal RNA
Source: RNAcentral
GAUGAACGCUGACAGAAUGCUUAACACAUGCAAGUCAUUGGCGAAGCUGCGCUUGCGCAGUCUAGCCAAGGCGGACGGGUGAGUAACGCGUAAGGAACUUGCCCUGCAGACAGGGAUAACAGACGGAAACGACUGAUAACACCUGGUAUUGUCAGGCUGGCGCAUGCCGGCCUGAUGAAAGGAGACGCUGCAGGAGAGCCUUGCGUCCUAUUAGCUAGUUGGUGGGGUAACGGCCCACCAAGGCGAUGAUAGGUAGCCGGCCUGAGAGGGUGAACGGCCACAAGGGGACUGAGAUACGGCCCUUACUCCAACGGGAGGCAGCAGUGGGGAAUAUUGGACAAUGGGGGCAACCCUGAUCCAGCAAUUCUGUGUGCACGAAGAAGGUUUUCGGAGUGUAAAGUGCUUUCAGCAGGGAAGAAGAAAGUGACGGUACCUGCAGAAGAAGCGACGGCUAAAUACGUG